This 399-nucleotide unclassified non-coding RNA is filed under the name soil metagenome. Its description in RNAcentral is "partial contains 5.8S ribosomal RNA, internal transcribed spacer 2, and large subunit ribosomal RNA". The stretch from base 4 to 119 matches the Rfam family "5.8S ribosomal RNA", at positions 39 to 154 of the family's 154-position model. The record is from RNAcentral.
GAUAAGAACGCAGCGAAAUGCGAUACUUGGUGUGAAUUGCAGAAUCCCGUGAACCAUCGAGUCUUUGAACGCAAGUUGCGCCCGAAGCCUCGGCUAAGGGCACGUCUGCCUGGGCGUCACGCAUCGCGUCUCCCCCAAACCGCCAAGGCGGAGGGGAAGGAAGAUGGCUUCCCGUGCCUCACCCGGGCGCGGUUGGCCUAAAUUUGGAGCCCGCGGCACUUAGCUCUCGCGGCGAUAGGUGGUGAACAAGGCCUUGGCCGUGCAAACAACCCGCUGCGAAGCUCUAUGUCACGUGCGCUCGUCGGACCCUUUGAAGUUGCCUUUGGUGACUUAAAACCUUUGCGACCCCAGGUCAGGCGGGGCUACCCGCUGAAUUUAAGCAUAUCAAUAAGCGGAGGA